UCGAAGAACUACGACAACUGGGAGAGGCUAGUGAGAGCCGUUUUGCGCAGGGAAAACGACAGGCGAAUAGCCUUGCUUAAUUCCUCAACAGAUUCCAGCUCCAACAGUGCAUCGUCUAGUUUCGAUCGUAGUUUUGGUCCCGCAAAUUUUCAAAUACUCGAUCAUGAUCAAUCGCAAGAAAGAAGUCGACUAGUGAUGAACUACACGGAUUUAGGGCUUGACCACAGCCAAUGGAAGACGAUGCUCCCACCCG
Molecule: long non-coding RNA, 253 nt
Filed under: Erythranthe guttata (spotted monkey flower)
Lineage: Eukaryota; Viridiplantae; Streptophyta; Magnoliopsida; Lamiales; Phrymaceae
Description: long non-coding RNA (EGUT_LNC001903)
Source: RNAcentral